UAUUCAAAUUUUAAAUUUAAUAUUUUAAAUUUUAUAAUUAUUUUAAAUUUUAAAGUUUAAAUUUUAAAUUUUGAAAUUUAAAAUUUAAAUAUAUUUUUAAAUAUUAAUAUUUUAUAUUUUAAAUUUCAUAAUUAUUUAUAUUUUUACAUUUAAAUUUAAAAUUUUAAUUUUUAAAUUUCAAAUUUUAAAUUUAGAUUUUAAUUUUAAUUUUUAAAUUCUAAAUUUAAAGUUUGGAAUUUUAAUUUAUGCAAAUAUCAAAAAAAAUUAAUAAAAAUAUUAAUUUAUGCAAACAUCAAGAAAAAUUUGCCAAACAGUUUUUCAAAAUCACUUCAGAAAAAUCACUUUUAUCUAAAUUCCGCCAAACACUCUACAGCUUUUAACCAAAAUCACUUCUCCAAACUAAAAUCACUUUUUCAGAAGCUAGGCCAGACAGGACCUGAGACUUUCCUCCAAAAUGUCCAACUUUUGUAUUUCUUCAAUAAUCUUUUUCUUCAUUUUC
RNAcentral lists this long non-coding RNA (499 nucleotides) under Ananas comosus (pineapple). Its description in RNAcentral is "long non-coding RNA (ACOM_LNC007084)". Lineage: Eukaryota; Viridiplantae; Streptophyta; Magnoliopsida; Poales; Bromeliaceae. The record is from RNAcentral.